UUGUCGGAGUGCUCUUAAUGAGCUGAGACCACAAUAGUGGGAUCCGUUGAACCUGAUCAGGCUAAUACCUGCGUAAGGGAAGCA
Molecule: non-coding RNA, 84 nt
Filed under: Candidatus Oceanisphaera merdipullorum
Lineage: Bacteria; Pseudomonadati; Pseudomonadota; Gammaproteobacteria; Aeromonadales; Aeromonadaceae
Description: TPP riboswitch (THI element)
Rfam family: TPP riboswitch aptamer (THI element)
About the family: Vitamin B(1) in its active form thiamin pyrophosphate (TPP) is an essential coenzyme that is synthesised by coupling of pyrimidine and thiazole moieties in bacteria.
Source: RNAcentral